RNAcentral lists this ribosomal RNA (264 nucleotides) under uncultured archaeon. Its description in RNAcentral is "partial 16S ribosomal RNA". It matches the Rfam family "Archaeal small subunit ribosomal RNA", at positions 717 to 982 of the family's 1478-position model. The record is from RNAcentral.
AGACGUCUACAUUAGAUACCCGUGUAGUCCCAGCCGUAAACUAUGCGCGUUAGGUGUAUCGGUGACCACGAGACACCGAGGUGCCGAAGGGAAACCGUGAAACGUGCCGCCUGGGAAGUACGGUCGCAAGGCUGAAACUUAAAGGAAUUGGCGGGGAGCACCACAACGGGUGGAGCCUGCGGUUUAAUUGGACUCAACGCCGGGAAGCUCACCGGAUAAGACAGCGGAAUGAUUGCCGGGCUGAAGACUCUGCAUGACUAGCUG